AUGGUCACUGUGUCCGCAUGGGAAGACGUUGAUUGAAUGAGGUAUAAGCCCGGAGACCGGCCUGCUACACCAUUAUUUA
This 79-nucleotide non-coding RNA is filed under the name Acinetobacter sp. The record is from RNAcentral. Lineage: Bacteria; Pseudomonadati; Pseudomonadota; Gammaproteobacteria; Moraxellales; Moraxellaceae.